Molecule: long non-coding RNA, 116 nt
Organism: Pan paniscus (pygmy chimpanzee)
Lineage: Eukaryota; Metazoa; Chordata; Mammalia; Primates; Hominidae
Source: Ensembl
UCAGAACAUAGGAGAAAGGAAAAGUCAUUUCAACUCCAGAAGGUGACCUGGAUCCUAUCUAGCACCUCAGGUCUGCCCAUGAAGUGGGCUGGCAUCAUUCUCCAGGGAUUCAUCAG